RNAcentral lists this ribosomal RNA (433 nucleotides) under uncultured bacterium. RNAcentral describes it as "partial 16S ribosomal RNA". It matches the Rfam family "Bacterial small subunit ribosomal RNA", at positions 29 to 507 of the family's 1533-position model. The record is from RNAcentral.
AACGAACGCUGGCGGCAUGCCUAACACAUGCAAGUCGAACGAGACCUUCGGGUCUAGUGGCGCACGGGUGCGUAACGCGUGGGAACCUGCCCUUAGGUUCGGAAUAACUCCCCGAAAGGGGUGCUAAUACCGGAUAAUGUCUUCGGACCAAAGAUUUAUCGCCUUUGGAUGGGCCCGCGUUGGAUUAGCUAGUUGGUAGGGUAAAAGCCUACCAAGGCGACGAUCCAUAGCUGGUCUGAGAGGAUGAGCAGCCACACUGGGACUGAGACACGGCCCAGACUCCUACGGGAGGCAGCAGUGGGGAAUAUUGGACAAUGGGGGAAAGCCUGAUCCAGCAAUGCCGCGUGAGUGAUGAAGGCCUUAGGGUUGUAAAGCUCUCUUACCCGGGAUGAUAAUGACAGUACCGGGAGAAUAAGCUCCGGCUAACUCCGUG